GGGUCGUUAGUUCACUCGUCCGAAGGAUUGGUAGAGCAGUUGACUUUUAAUCAAUUGGUCGCUGGUUCGACAAAACUGUAGGGAACAGUUUUGAACAUGCGCAGCAUGGCCCC
This 113-nucleotide transfer RNA is filed under the name Aliiglaciecola sp. 3_MG-2023. RNAcentral's name for it is "tRNA-Lys". The record is from RNAcentral. Lineage: Bacteria; Pseudomonadati; Pseudomonadota; Gammaproteobacteria; Alteromonadales; Alteromonadaceae.